AUGACUUUCAUCACCAUCUUCAUCUGGUUAUUGGCCAUCUGCUGUUUUAAAGAGUCCAGAGGUCAGGUGACUGUGACUCAGACUCCUGCAGUGAAAUCUGCUCUUCCAGGAGACACAGUCACUAUCAACUGUAAAACCAGCUCUGCCGUGCAGAGUGCUAAUUAUGUAGCCUGGUACCAACAGAAACCUGGAGAGGCUCCUAAACUCCUGAUUUAUGCUGCAAGUUACCGUCAGUCUGGAGUUCCAGAUCGUUUCAGUGGCAGUGUUGGUAGCAAUUUUGACUUCACUCUGACCAUCAGUAACAUCCAGACUGAAGAUGCAGGAGAUUAUUACUGUCUGAGUCUCCACUGGACCAGUGGCUAUGUGUUCACACAGUGA
This is a non-coding RNA of Chanos chanos (milkfish), 378 nucleotides long. Lineage: Eukaryota; Metazoa; Chordata; Actinopteri; Gonorynchiformes; Chanidae. The record is from the annotation of a RefSeq genome assembly.